Molecule: non-coding RNA, 336 nt
Organism: Pelobates cultripes (western spadefoot toad)
Lineage: Eukaryota; Metazoa; Chordata; Amphibia; Anura; Pelobatidae
Source: the annotation of a GenBank genome assembly
UAUAUAUAUAUAUAUAUAUCUCAAUCAUCUGUCCUGGCAAGACAUAGCCUUACAUAUUACACGCGACAAUAUAUGGCGCAGUGACUUAUGGGGCUGGAACAAAUUUUUUUUCCAGGGCUGCUUUGUAUCCCCAGUCCGGCCCUGCCUACCCCACAAACUCUCUCUUUUACACUACACAUAUACAUGAUGCAUCCUUACACAUACACAGAAACACACAAUGCAUCCCUACACACACACGAACAGAAACAUACAGUGCAUCCCUACUCACAUAGAAACACACAAUGCUUCGCUUACAAACACAGAAACACACAAUGCAUCCAUUACACACAAUGCAUA